GUGGGGAAUAUUGGGCAAUGGGCGCAAGCCUGACCCAGCAAUGCCGCGUGGGUGAAGAAGGUCUUCGGAUUGUAAAGCCCUUUCGGCGGGGACGAUGAUGACGGUACCCGCAGAAGAAGCCCCGGCCAACUUCGUGCCAGCAGCCGCGGUAAUACGAAGGGGGCUAGCGUUGCUCGGAAUCACUGGGCGUAAAGGGCGCGUAGGCGGCCCUGUUGGUCGGGCGUGAAAUCCCUGGGCUCAACCCGGGGGCUGCGCCCGAAACGGCGGGGCUAGAGGAUGGAAGAGGCUCGCGGAAUUCCCAGUGUAGAGGUGAAAUUCGUAGAUAUUGGGAAGAACACCGGUGGCGAAGGCGGCGAGCUGGUCCAUUACUGACGCUGAGGCGCGACAGCGUGGGGAGCAAACAGG
This 405-nucleotide ribosomal RNA is filed under the name uncultured bacterium. RNAcentral describes it as "bacterial SSU rRNA". It matches the Rfam family "Bacterial small subunit ribosomal RNA", at positions 354 to 776 of the family's 1533-position model. The record is from RNAcentral.